Triticum urartu is the source of this 134-nucleotide non-coding RNA. NCBI's taxonomy places the organism in Eukaryota, Viridiplantae, Streptophyta, Magnoliopsida, Poales, Poaceae. The record is from Rfam.
UAAAUACUCCCUCCAUCCGGAAAUAUUUGUCAUCGAAAUGAACAAAGGGGAUGUAUUUAGAUAUAUUUUAGUUCUAGAUACAUCACUUUUUAUUCGUUUUGAUAACAAGUAUUUUCGGACGGAGGGAAUAGUAU